CACCUUUUUCGUUUUUGCAGAUUCGGUCCGAUUUUUUCGCCGCCUAACCAAAAUGCCCCUCCUAUACAAUAGCCGCCCGUGUAUUUCUUGACAUACGUAUACUACCCUACUACCCUGCCGUACGGUCUUGCGCGCAUUAAAUGCGCCGCUUCCGCCUUACGCAAUCUCGCUCAUUUCUCGGAACCCGGACCACAUCCGCCCCCGCUAUUCGCCGGCUCCGCUGUUUCCUGUUCGGCUUUAAGACUUUACGAAAUUUUCUAAAUCUAUUGAGAAUUACUGCGCGCCGCGCAAC
This 292-nucleotide long non-coding RNA is filed under the name Ananas comosus (pineapple). Its description in RNAcentral is "long non-coding RNA (ACOM_LNC002054)". The record is from RNAcentral. Lineage: Eukaryota; Viridiplantae; Streptophyta; Magnoliopsida; Poales; Bromeliaceae.